This is a long non-coding RNA of Triticum urartu, 388 nucleotides long. RefSeq lists it as uncharacterized. The record is from RefSeq and is a predicted model, not a curated record. Lineage: Eukaryota; Viridiplantae; Streptophyta; Magnoliopsida; Poales; Poaceae.
GUUGAGUACCUCAAACUGAGGACCGCUCGUGUCGCCGCCGCCGCCGCCGCCGUCGCCAUGGGAACUGGAGUCGCUCAUGAUGCUCCGAGCUCAGGCCUCAGGGAGGAAGACGAACUGAGGGCUGUGACAGCCUCGUCUGCGUGAGGAAGCAUCUCUGGGUUGCUCUGCUUUGCCCGGUUGGUCUCCGAGUCUUUGGUGGCAGGCCCAUAGGCUGCCUGGACAUUAUCCUAUGCACCCAAUAAGAAGAGAGAAGGAAAAAAGGUGGUCCGUCAAAGGACAGAGAGUAAUGAGCACCUGAUUAACCACCAUCUUUCCUUUAUGCUGCUAAGAAAAAACACCAUGUCCUUUAGUCCUUUUAAUGGCUGUGUAAAUCGCCUUCAUUCUUUCA